RNAcentral lists this long non-coding RNA (2723 nucleotides) under Equus asinus (donkey). RNAcentral's name for it is "lncRNA (ENSEASG00005027079.1)". Lineage: Eukaryota; Metazoa; Chordata; Mammalia; Perissodactyla; Equidae. The record is from RNAcentral.
UAGCAAGCGGGAAGGACAAGAUUCAGCCCAAGGCGUCCUCUGGGCAAAGCCUGCACACUUAACUCUGCCUCAGGAUUUCUGAGGGGAAAUAAGACAGACAAGUGAAGCUCCCCACGUGCAGGCAGUCCUCCCUCCUGCUUCCAGCCCCUUCCUGUACCUCUGGCUCCAGGGAUGCUGACUCUCCGCGGCCCCUGCUCUCCAGCCUUCUGGGACUCUCACCAUCCGCUCAGCCUAUACAGCCAUGAGGGCGAAUGGUGAGCUUAGCCAUCCUAAUAUAGCUGAUCGUCACUGAGCACCAGGUGCCUUCCAAAGAUCAUCUUAUGUCAUCCUCACCAGAAACUUGCGAGGACACAGUGACCCCACAACACCCCUGGGCAAACAGGCAGGGAGAAGUGAAGCUACUUGCCCAAGAUCACCCAGCUCAAAAGGGCCAGAGGACGGAGAAGCUGAGAGGAAACCCCGGUGAAGAAGAGGCAGUUGUGUGGGAGAAGCCUUUGCCGUCUCUGGAGGGCCUUACAGCCCAAGGGAGGGGCUCUCCGCAGCUCGGAGCCCAGGCCUAGCUGAGGAGGGGGCCAGAAGAUACUCACAAGCACACCCUGUGCCUGCGGCCCGCUGCCUGGUGCAGCCCCUCUGCGUGCAGCUUCCUGGCUCUGAAAGCCGCUGCCUCAGACAGCUGAGUCUCCAGCCUUGUUCUGCUUCGCUCCCCUGAAAGGAAGAGAUCAGAGGCUGUCGCCGUGAUGGAGCAGCCGCCAGGAUCCGAGGCACAAAGCACUAGGGGCAGUGGAUGUCUUUAGCAGGCCACAAAGCCAGGGCCAGUGCCCUACUUACGGCUGUGACUUCCCUUAUUGGGAGCUGCCUUCUGCUGUGAGGCGCCUGGGGUCAGCAUGCUGAGUGUUGGGACUUUAUCCUCCUUGGCCAGCCUCCCCGGGGAGAUGAGCCCUUGUUAGAGCCAGCCCCUGGCAUCCUGAAAGCCGCUCGUACCUCAGCCUGGAAGACAUUUCUGGGUUCAGGGGAGAAGAAAGCAAUCAGAGGGAUGCACACAGCUGCUCUCAGCCUGACGGGCCUCCACACCGGGGAUCAGAGCCAACUCCCAAAGGCAGGACUGGUGCCCGCCUGGCUCAAAAGCAGCAUUCGCCCCUCCCCCUGGACUGAGGCCAGGGCUGCAGCAUCUGCCUCAGAAAGAAAAGUCCUCGGAGAGGCUGAGGACAGGCCAAGGGCAACCUGGCCUCAUCCUGCCCUUGUGAUGGCCUGUAGGUGGGGUGGACAGCAGCCCUGAUGCCCUCCCUGGGCUGUGAGUGUCUCAAGGGCAGGAACUGUGCUCCACCGGACUCAGUACCUUCUGGCACAGGUUAGCAUUUACUGGGCCAGGCACUGUUCUGAGUGCUUUCAGUUAUUAACCCACUAACCCUCACCUCAACCCCAGGAGGUAUUUUUCCCGUUUUUCAGGUGGAGAAACUGACAUACAGAAAGAUUAGUUCAUAAAGCUCGUGAAUGAGGAGGCAGGAUUUGAAUCCAGGCGGUCUGACUCCAGGGCCCAUAUUCUUUACCAUUGUACUACUGUGACUCUCAAUGAAUAAACAAUGGAGAAAUGAAUGAAUAUAGGAAUGAACUGAUGAAUAAAUAAAGCAAUCACUUACUGACUUGUAGAGAGAAUGACGUAAAAGCCCCGUUCAGGAUUACUUCCUCUAUUAACAGUUUCAGGGCCUGUGAAUCUGCCAUUGAAAUGCAUCCCUUUGAGUUUUAGUCUGUGAUUGUCUUUAAAAAAUGCCCCUAAGAAAUUGGGGUAAUGACAAUUAUCGCCAUGCUCUGUGGCCCCUGGAUGUCUAGGUGAGGCCUAAGGCCUGGGGAGAAGUCAACCCCAGGGAUGAGGGGAGAGGAACGAGGAGCUGGGCGUUUCUGUGGAGGAUGCUGCUGUUGCUGUUCUGCUGUGGUGCGGGGCUGGGCCACCGGCUUUCAAGCCUCUGAGCCAGACUGUGCCUCUUACUGGCUCUGUGGCCCUGGGUGAGCCACAUGGCCUCUGGGAGCCCCUGUUUUCUCAUCCAUCAGUGGGGAAUACCAAUAGCUACCUCGCAGUGUGUGAUUAAAUAAACUGCUAUUGGUAAUGGGUCCUGCACAGAGUAGAUGCUCCACGAAUGGGAGCUGUUAUUACCCAAAUUAUAGCCAAAAAGUAUGUCAGGAAGGAUCACCGGCCUGCUUUUCCUCCUACACUGCUUCCCGCUCUGGAGACCCUAUUCCUGGUGUCCCAGGCACUCCCAUCAUGACCCCCAUCUCCCCAGCCCUGCCAGCCUUCUCUCCAGUAUCUAUCUUUCCAGGUUGUCCCCGGCCUCCCUUCUCCCACCUCUGCCCUGGCCGGGGCUCCCACUAUCUGCCAUGUGAACUCUGUCAACUCUGAGACAUCCAGAGAACACACCUCGGAACCAGGUGGAAGCAGGUCCUCCUGUAGCACCCACCUCUCCGUUUCCCAUCCUUGUCUAGUUCCAACUCUGCCAACUUGGACCUCCAGCUGCCUUCACCUCCACCUCUUUUUUCUCACUUGUUUCUCUCUCCCUGUCCCAUGGGUCCCUUUGGCUCGAGUGACUAAUUAAAUUAUGCAGCAGGUGGCAAUGAAGACACCCUCUCCCUUUCAAGUGCUCAUCACAGGGUCAUGCACGACAGCCCCAGGACACAGGAUAGGAAGAGCCCUGGCCCUGGCAGCAGGAGGAUCCUUAUGCAGCCAGUGACCU